This 346-nucleotide ribosomal RNA is filed under the name uncultured Thiobacillus sp. RNAcentral describes it as "bacterial SSU rRNA". It matches the Rfam family "Bacterial small subunit ribosomal RNA", at positions 1031 to 1382 of the family's 1533-position model. The record is from RNAcentral. Lineage: Bacteria; Pseudomonadati; Pseudomonadota; Betaproteobacteria; Nitrosomonadales; Thiobacillaceae.
AACACAGGUGCUGCAUGGCUGUCGUCAGCUCGUGUCGGUGAGAUGUUGGGUUAAGUCCCGCAACGAGCGCAACCCUUAUCAUUAGUUGCUACGCAAGGGCACUCUAAUGAGACUGCCGGUGACAAACCGGAGGAAGGUGGGGAUGACGUCAAGUCCUCAUGGCCCUUAUGGGUAGGGCUUCACACGUCAUACAAUGGUCGGUACAGAGGGUUGCCAAGCCGCGAGGCGGAGCCAAUCCCACAAAGCCGAUCGUAGUCCGGAUUGUUCUCUGCAACUCGAGAGCAUGAAGUCGGAAUCGCUAGUAAUCGCAGGUCAGCAUACUGCGGUGAAUACGUUCCCGGGUCUU